Molecule: ribosomal RNA, 492 nt
Filed under: uncultured bacterium
Lineage: Bacteria
Description: partial 16S ribosomal RNA
Rfam family: Bacterial small subunit ribosomal RNA
Source: RNAcentral
AGUGAACGCUGGCGGUAGGCCUAACACAUGCAAGUCGAACGGCAGCACAGUAAGAGCUUGCUCUUACGGGUGGCGAGUGGCGGACGGGUGAGGAAUACAUCGGAAUCUACUUUUUCGUGGGGGAUAACGUAGGGAAACUUACGCUAAUACCGCAUACGACCUACGGGUGAAAGCAGGGGAUCUUCGGACCUUGCGCGAUCGAAUGAGCCGAUGUCGGAUUAGCUAGUUGGCGGGGUAAAGGCCCACCAAGGCGACGAUCCGUAGCUGGUCUGAGAGGAUGAUCAGCCACACUGGAACUGAGACACGGUCCAGACUCCUACGGGAGGCAGCAGUGGGGAAUAUUGGACAAUGGGCGCAAGCCUGAUCCAGCCAUACCGCGUGGGUGAAGAAGGCCUUCGGGUUGUAAAGCCCUUUUGUUAGGAAAGAAAAGCAGCAGGUUAAUACCCCGCUGUUCUGACGGUACCCAAAGAAUAAGCACCGGCUAACUUCGUG